AAGAGUAUUCGAGUGAAACCGAUUUGUUUUGAGUAGUAAGGUUUGUUAAAUUUAUUUAGGAAAAAUAUUUUUUUAGCUUAGUAAGAGAAGGAAAUUUUUAAGUAGACUAUAGAGAAUGAGUACUGUGAGGGAAAAUUUGAAAGAGAAUUAAGAAAAGUAAAAUUAAAGUAGAAAUGAGAUUUUGUACCUUGUGUAUUAGGGGUGUUUAAUUUAAAUUAGUUAAUGUUGAUUGUCCCGAAAAAAGGAUAGCUAAAUUGGAGAAGACUGUUUUUGUAAUAAAAAGAUUAGGAACUUUAGUUUAGGAGUGAAAUGUUAGGCGAGCUUUUUGAUAUCUGGUUCUUUUAUAAAUAAAUUUAAUUUAGCUUUUACAUGAUAUUAAUGUUAAAAGGAGGGAGCAGAAGGGGAGAGCUUUUUGUUUAAAUUUUAGGAGUUUAAAGAAGAUUUUUAAAAGAAAUAAGAUUGGACUAGGCUUAGAAGUAGCUUUGUUUGGAGGGUGUUAUAGCUAAGAUUGGGAACUAUUAAGUAUAAUUCUUUUUAGAUACAUAUGAGAGAGUAUUUUGAAUUAAAUUUGGAGUAUUUAAAAUUGGUAUAUUAGUAAAUGUUAUAUUAUAUAAAAUGAAUUACGAGAUAAUUUAGUAAGGUUUAGUUGUAUUCAUGUUUUGUAGAGGAAUUCGGCAAAUUUUAUUUCCGCCUGUUUAUCAAAAACAUCUCUGUGUGAGAGAUUUAUAGAGUCUAGCCUGCCCGUUGAAGAUUUGAAAGGCCGCGGUAUUUUGACCGUGCGAAGGUAGCAUAAUCAUUAGUCUUUUAAUUGAAGGCUUGUAUGAAGGGUUGGACGAGAAAUAAGCUGUCUUUAUUGAAAAAAUAGAAUUUAACUUUUAAGUGAGAGGGCUUAAAUGUUCUAAAGGGACGAUAAGACCCUAUAAAGUUUGACAUUUUAUUCAUUAAAAAAUAAAAUAAUUAAAUUAGUUUUUAUUAGUGGGGUGAUGUUUUGUUGGGGCGAUUAGAAUAUAAAAAAUUUAACUGUUUUAUAUUAAUACAAAGUUGUUUGAGUGUUUUGAUCCUUGGUAAAGGUAUUAGAGUAAAUUACUUUAGGGAUAACAGCGUAAUUUUUUUUGAGAGUUCUUAUCGACAAAAAAGUUUGCGACCUCGAUGUUGAAUUAAAGAAUUCUUUAUAGCGCAGAAGUUAUAAAAGAAGGUCUGUUCGACCUUUAAAUCUUUACAUGAUUUGAGUUCAGACCGGCGUGAGCCAGGUUGGUUUCUAUCUUUUAGAUCUUAAAUAAAUUAUUUUAGUACGAAAGGAUUGAAUAGUUAAAAUAUUUUUAAUUUGAUAGUGUGAGAUAGCUCAGAGAAAGUGUAUAGUUUAAAAGUUAAUAAUUUUGG
This 1380-nucleotide ribosomal RNA is filed under the name Engaeus sericatus. RNAcentral's name for it is "l-rRNA". The stretch from base 645 to 1380 matches the Rfam family "Archaeal large subunit ribosomal RNA", at positions 1423 to 2843 of the family's 2987-position model. The record is from RNAcentral. Lineage: Eukaryota; Metazoa; Arthropoda; Malacostraca; Decapoda; Parastacidae.